RNAcentral lists this ribosomal RNA (253 nucleotides) under uncultured bacterium. RNAcentral describes it as "partial 16S ribosomal RNA". It matches the Rfam family "Bacterial small subunit ribosomal RNA", at positions 524 to 776 of the family's 1533-position model. The record is from RNAcentral.
UACAGAGGUGGCAAGCGUUGUUCGGAAUUACUGGGCGUAAAGGGCGCGUAGGCGGUUCGUUAAGUCCUGUGUGAAAUCCCCCGGCUCAACUGGGGAACUGCACAGGAAACUAGCGGGCUUGAGUUCGGGAGGGGGAAGCGGAAUUCCGGGUGUAGCGGUGAAAUGCGUAGAUAUCCGGAGGAACACCGGUGGCGAAGGCGGCUUCCUGGACCGACACUGACGCUGAGGCGCGAAAGCUAGGGGAGCAAACGGG